CGUAAUAAUAGAAACUAACCAGGAUUCCCUUAGUAACGGCGAGUGAACUGGGAUGCCAAUAUAUAAUAUGUACCUCGCGUGCAUAAAUUAGCCCGUCGAUACUAUCCUAGCGUAUGUCACCGGUCUUCGAGUCGGUACUCAAAUACGCGGGAAUUGUAGCAUCGUAAUAAUUAUACAGCACACACACACACACAUAAGAACCCACGCCAACAUGCGUACACCACUUGUAAACACACAGCGUCUCCGCGUUGGAAAGCAAGUAUAUAUCCUCUUUGGAUAUGCCAUAGAGUGUGACAGCCACGUUUCACCCUUUAGUACGCACACACAUAUACCAAUGGCGCGGCGUGCGAGUGCACAACGUAUAUAUACUAUAACCUGAGUCGAGUUAUUU
This 391-nucleotide ribosomal RNA is filed under the name Ammonia sp. RNAcentral describes it as "partial large subunit ribosomal RNA". Lineage: Eukaryota; Foraminifera; Rotaliida; Rotaliidae. The record is from RNAcentral.